This 434-nucleotide ribosomal RNA is filed under the name uncultured bacterium. RNAcentral describes it as "partial 16S ribosomal RNA". It matches the Rfam family "Bacterial small subunit ribosomal RNA", at positions 29 to 507 of the family's 1533-position model. The record is from RNAcentral.
AGCGAACGCUGGCGGCAGGCCUAACACAUGCAAGUCGAACGAACCUUUCGGGGUUAGUGGCGGACGGGUGAGUAACACGUGGGAACGUGCCUUUAGGUUCGGAAUAACUCAGGGAAACUUGUGCUAAUACCGAAUGUGCCCUUCGGGGGGAAGAUUUAUCGCCUUUAGAGCGGCCCGCGUCUGAUUAGCUAGUGGGUUGAGGUAAUGGCUCACCAAGGCGACGAUCGGUAGCUGGUCUGAGAGGAUGAUCAGCCACAUUGGGACUGAGACACGGCCCAAACUCCUACGGGAGGCAGCAGUGGGGAAUCUUGCGCAAUGGGCGAAAGCCUGACGCAGCCAUGCCGCGUGAAUGAUGAAGGUCUUAGGAUUGUAAAAUUCUUUCACCGGGGACGAUAAUGACGGUACCCGGAGAAGAAGCCCCGGCUAACUUCGUG